Molecule: non-coding RNA, 1364 nt
Organism: Callithrix jacchus (white-tufted-ear marmoset)
Lineage: Eukaryota; Metazoa; Chordata; Mammalia; Primates; Cebidae
Source: RefSeq, a predicted model, not a curated record
UAUGCUGUAAUUUAUUCUACUUUGAAAAUACAACUAGUUAUUAUGACAUUUCAAAUGAAGAAACCCUGGCUCAAAGAAUUUCAGGACUAUCUAAUAUUGAUUGAAUGAUGUAGUGUCCCAUAAUAUAAAAAAAAAUUAGCACUUUGCACUUCAGUGAUUGGAGACAAGAGGUACUGGAUGCCAAAAUAAAAUUAACAUAUAACUAAAUAAAAAUGCAAGGAGAACUCAGAUUUAUGAAUGAUACCUGCAUAGUGUAAGUGAAUAUUUUUAUAGUAGAAGGCUAACCUUUUGAGAUUGCCGCAAGGAAAAUAAUUGAGAAAUCUUAUAACAUCACCUUCUUGCCUCUCUCAGAGGCAGAAUUCUAAAUAUGCUACAGCCUGAUACACUUCAAAACAAAUAUUUAUCAAGUACCUGUAAUAUACUCAAGAUAGCUGAGCUCAAUUGACUUUUCUAACAAGAAAUCACUGUGCAUAACCAAACACCGUGUUAAAAGUGACUUUCUUCUAUAUCUAAUUGCUCCGCUCUUUCCCAGAAACCUGAAACUAUACUGUAAUGCUACCCACAAGAUCCAUGCCAUGGGACUCUAUUAUAAAUGAAGCCUUGGUACAAUGAGAUUCUCCUAGUAUUGCCAAUAAUAAAUCCCCUUGGAUAAGGUCAAAAACACAUCCACUCCAUCCUGAAUUCUGCAUUCUCCACCGUAUACUGGAAGGCUCCAGCUUUACAUCAUAAAUGUGAAAAAGCUCUGGAUCACAGAAAUUUUCCAAAUACUUCAUCCAUCACUAUAAUGUGGUUACCUCCAGGGGGUGAUUUCAACAGUCGAAGGUGAAAUGGAGCAUAACGGAUUAUCACUUCUUACUAAUUAAUGAUUUCAAUAGCUUAAUUGUACAUUUGGAUGUGAUACAUAUAAAGGGAGAGACUUCAUGUGGACAAACAUCAUAGCCAAGCUGUAACCCAUACAUGCCAUACCAACUACAUGUCCAUCUUUACUCGUGUACUUUAACAGAAUGGUGAUUUAAUCACAAGAGAUCACUCCAGUGGUUACACUUGAAUCCCAACAAGAUGCAGCUGUUAAUGACCAGGUACAGUCAUGAGUCACAAAAUGAUGUUUUGAUCAAUGAUGAAUUGCAUAUAAGUCAAUGGUCCCAUCAGAUUUUAAUGGCACUCAAAAAUUCCUAUUGUAUAGUGACAUCAUAGCCAUCAAAUGUCAUAGCACAAUGCAGGACUCACAGGUUUCUGGUGAUGCUGAUGUGAACAAACCCACUGCACUGCCAGUCGUAUAAAUGUCUAGCACAUAUAAUUCUGUACAACACAUAGUGUUUUGUGAUAAUAAAAAAAUUCUGUUAUUGAUUUUUUGUUUACUAUAA